UUUGACACGUGGGAACACAAAAUUAUAUUAAAUUGUUCCUUUUCUUUUCCAACCCAAAAUAUCUGAUCCAACCGUCCAACUAGUGAGAAAUUUCCAGCUAUAAAUUGAUUACUACCUACUUAUAAAUUUGGCCGUACAAUUGACACUCCGAUUCGAGAAGUUUCUAUAAUAUAACUAACCGUUAACAAGAUCUUGGACGAAAGGGGAACGCAGAUGUCUUCACCGGACUAUGCCGGACUCCUGGAAAACUCGAAGGAGCUCGAUCGGUUAAGGAAAGAGCAAGAAGAAUUGCUCCUCGAGAUCAAUAAAAUGCACAAGAAACUUCAAUCCAGUGAGUCGCAGUUAUAGUUAUUAAAUUAUAACCCUAUCUUUGAAAUUACCCUAAUUAUGAUGUAUGUUGUAUUUAGUGGAAUUGUGUAAUUCUUGACACGCGUUUGAGGUUUUUUCAUGAAAGCAAUUGGAUUUAAAUGAUUAUUGUUCCAAGUGUAUAUGGGUAAUUAGGUUCUAAUUGUUGAGAGUUCGUUUGGUGGAAUAUACGUGUCAUUAGAAGUUCAGUUCAUUUAUAUCCUUGUUCAGAAAGUGUAGUGGGGACAGCCUUUGAUUGAUUACUCAUUUGUUAUUUUAAUGGCAAGUUUCGUAAGAUAGAUUGAACUGCAGUAGAAAAUGUUAUAAAAACUAAAAUAAUAUAAUCUUGUCUUAAUUGUUUGAGGACUUAGAAUUACGAUAACAACUUUCUUUCGCUUGAAGUUUGUUCCUGAGGAUAUGUAUGAGCUAAGAGUUAUUCAUGAAAAAAGAAAGAAAAGGAGUUUGAUAACUCAAUGCACUAGUUUCUUGAGAUUCUCAUGUGAGGAAAAUUAUACCAUGUUGGAGAAAUAAGAUGCACAGCAUGAUCAUCAUAAUUACAUGAAUGGACCUAAAACCUAAUAACUUCAAGUUUUGGAUUACGAUUGCUCCAAG
Molecule: long non-coding RNA, 957 nt
Filed under: Olea europaea (common olive)
Lineage: Eukaryota; Viridiplantae; Streptophyta; Magnoliopsida; Lamiales; Oleaceae
Description: long non-coding RNA (OEUR_LNC010248)
Source: RNAcentral